UUUCGUUUAUGGUAUAUCUCGUCGAUGUUAUCGGUACUCGUCCAUCCGUGUCUCCACUAUAAACCCAAAUACGGAAACCAGCAUCGAGAAGCUUGUGAAUGGUGGGCAACACAGAACUAGUUGAGUCAGUCCACCGCUGAAUCACACCACUGCAAGGAGUAUAAGGAUAUGAGAGUUUGGUAAGAUUAGCAUGAAGGGCCUUUUGAACAUCCUCUCUAUUGAAAAACUUAUUUGCAUAACCUUCAGUACAUGGAUCAUACCCCAAUGGAAGUUUAUGCCAUAACUCGUGGAUGGAAAAGAUUCGAGGAGGAAGAGCGAGAAGGGUUGAAAAG
RNAcentral lists this unclassified non-coding RNA (332 nucleotides) under Hevea brasiliensis (rubber tree). Lineage: Eukaryota; Viridiplantae; Streptophyta; Magnoliopsida; Malpighiales; Euphorbiaceae. The record is from RNAcentral.